GAUAGAGGUGCAAGAGACAAUCCCUAACUGACAGAUAGCCAGCUGAAACCCUGAUGAGCUUUUAGGAACAUAAGAAGUCUCCUGAAAGGAUCUUAGCUUCAUUAGAAGAACUGAAAAGGAACUCAAGUUUUCACUUUAAGAUGGCUUGAUUCCAGAUAUUAGAGAAAUCUCCAUAUUAACAUGAGACUUUAAAAUUGAUAUUUUAGUCUAGUUUGACUAUUUAUCAAAUUUGUUAUUCACAUGCACUGAGGACAACAGGAGCUUUGGAUAUGCAAGGAGUACAGGAUCAAGAUCACUUAAGCAAUCAGACCGAUCGCUUGUCAAAUUAGUGUUUGCUAGGAAUUAAAAUACAUGAUAGUAAUUCAACAUUUCUCCAACAGGGGGACUAAAAUAUCCCCUUUAGAAAUAAUUAAUCCCUAGUUUCUUGCUCUAGGUAACCACUGUUGCAGAGACUGACUCAUUUUGAGAGCAAAGUCCACCUCAAGUUUUUAGGAGACAAGUUUCCCAGUAUUACGUUGCAUGGCAAACAACCUUUACUGUCAAUUCUGCCACAGUGCACCAACAAGUAUACUGUCUAUUUGAGGACCUUACCUGAGCAUCAUCCACAUCAACCUCAAGAAACACUAUGUCUGGGAACUUCUCACAAAGACUCUAAAAUUUUAAAAACACCAAAAAAAGUGUGUUAAAAUUGCAGUUUUUAUUUCACAUAAACCUUGUUUAAGAGUGCUCUAGGAUAGUCUUAUAUAAAAGAGCCCCAUUUGGGGAAAAACAAAUCUUACCAGUUAGUAUCUUUUACUAAAAAGUAGAUGUUUCAUUUGCCAUAGAGCAAUGAUGUCACUAGCUGGAGCGUCAAGAGUUCACUUACGUGUACCAUAGAAGUCAUUUUAAGAUUUUUAGCAGUACGUUUUAGUUUCAAAUGCUUUUUACUAAGAUCUUUUAUUAGGAACUUAAGGCAUUUCCCUCAACCAUGAGGUCACAUGACAGAUUUGUCUCUAGGAUAAUUAUAUUUGCAUGUGCCUAACCCACAAUAAUUAAGUUUUAAAACCAUUAAGCAAGUUGCAAGUCAGCUGAAGAGUAAGAUUUACAGGUCUACAGAGUGAUUCAUUUCAAGGAAGAGUACAUGUAUCUCAAAACAUGUAUUCCUUUUUAAUAGCUUAAAAGAUUGUAAUGUUUCUCUUUUGACUGAAGAAAAUUGAUAAUUUGUGAAAGUUUGACUCAAUUCCUCAAGAGAAUUAGAACAAAGUUUUAAUAGAGCUGAGACUUUGGAGAGUCACAGGUGAAGUAUGUUCAUUCAUCAAAAAGGUUUACUCUUGAUAAAAUAAGCAGAUACAGUAAAACCUCAGAGUUACAAACUGACCAGUCAAGCACACACCUCAUUUGGAACCAGAAGUACGCAAUCAGGCAGCAGCAGAGACAAAAAAAAGCUAACAGUACAGUACUGUGUUAAACUAAAAAAAAGGGGAGGGGGAGCAGCCUUUUUCUUCCGCAUAGUAAAGUUUCAACGCUGUAUUCAGUAAAUGUUCUGUUUUAAAACUUUUAAGAGAACCACCAUAAUGUUUUGGUCGUAUUACAAACAGCCUCCAUUCUGGAAGUGUUCAUAACUGAGGAUCUAGUGUACCAGGAAAUUAGUACAGUUUCCCAGCUACACAUUUGUAAUAGAAUACAGCCACAUUUUACACUAAUGAAUCAUGAUUACUGGUUUUCACUGAUGGCUAUUCAGAGUUCGCAUGCAGGGUUACAGUUCUUUACUUUUCUAGUUUGGGUCAUAAGUGUUAAUAUCAUUUCAGCCUAUUCUAUCAUUUCAAUUGUUAGAAUGUUAUUUGAGAUUUAGACUUCAAAAUCAUUUGACAAGGCUGUCUUAUGGCAGCAAAGACAAUGAAUUUUAUUUCAAUCUUCUUGACCUUGGUCAGUUUGUUAUGAUCCCCACAAUAAGUGGUGAAGAGCAUUUCACUUUUUUGGAGGGAGAAUGCUUUAAAAAGAGUGGUGAAGAAUUGUUUGGACAAUAUUAGGAAUAUCACUGUUUUGGUUAGUCACGCGUAGGUCACAAUUGAGGUUUUCUUGCAAGUCUUCCUGCAUGAGUAUCAACUAACAUAAGACAGUUCAAACAUCCAUAGUGACCUAGUUUUAAUAGUAAGAUAGCAUUGCACUAGUCAUGCCUAAGCUGUAAAAACUAGCAGAGUAUUGAGUUUGGAAUUGUUACUUACAUGAAAAAAAGGUUUGAUCACUUUGCAUGGUCCACACCAUGUGGCUGAGAAGUCAACAACUACAAGCUUAUCACCAGCAGAUUUCAAUUCAGACUUAAAUUCUUCC
Dermochelys coriacea (leatherback sea turtle) is the source of this 2310-nucleotide long non-coding RNA. RefSeq lists it as uncharacterized. Lineage: Eukaryota; Metazoa; Chordata; Testudines; Dermochelyidae. The record is from RefSeq and is a predicted model, not a curated record. The transcript has 2 exons.